GACGAACGCUGGCGGCGUGCUUAACACAUGCAAGUCGAACGAUGAAGCCGGAGCUUGCUCUGGUGAAUUAGUGGCGAACGGGUGAGUAACAGGUGAGUAACCUGCCCUUGACUCUGGGAUAACUGCUAGAAAUGGUAGCUAAUACCGGAUACGACCCUCGGCGGCAUCGCCAGGGGGUGGAAAGAAUUUCGGUCAAGGAUGGACUCGCGGCCUAUCAGCUAGUUGGGGAGGUAACGGCUCACCAAGGCGACGACGGGUAGCCGGCCUGAGAGGGUGACCGGCCACACUGGGACUGAGACACGGCCCAGACUCCUACGGGAGGCAGCAGUGGGGAAUAUUGCACAAUGGGCGCAAGCCUGAUGCAGCAACGCCGCGUGAGGGAUGACGGCCUUCGGGUUGUAAACCUCUUUUAGUAGGGAAGAAGCGAAAGUGACGGUACCUGCAGAAAAAGCACCGGCUAACUACGUGCCAGCCGCCGCAGUAA
This 484-nucleotide ribosomal RNA is filed under the name uncultured bacterium. RNAcentral's name for it is "partial 16S ribosomal RNA". It matches the Rfam family "Bacterial small subunit ribosomal RNA", at positions 28 to 523 of the family's 1533-position model. The record is from RNAcentral.